GGAACAGGGGAUCCUCUGGUCAGUCUAGGUCCCCUACCCAUCUCUAUGUGUGGUGUGAGGUGCUCUGCUCUACCCACACUGAGGGAGUGACCUUAGUUAAACAGAGACUAGGGAAAGAAUGCCAGGAAGUGGGACAACACCUACCUACUACCUGGACUGCAAAAAGAGGGUGCUCAUGCUAUCUUAAGUGAAAGGAAUCUCCAGGACAGAGGCAUGAAAAUGUGUCCGGAAUUGGUGGGUUCUUGGUCUCACUGACUUCAAGAAUGAAGCCGCAGACACUCGCAGUGAGUGUUACAGCUCUUAAGGUGGCGCAUCUGGAGUUUGUUCCUUCUGAUGUUUGGAUAUGUUCGGAGUUUCUUCCUUGUCGUGGGUUCGUGGUCUCGCUGGCUCAGGAGUGAAGCUGCGGACCUUCGCACCUCCAAAUGGAAUGAGGAAAGAAGUGACAGGCUCCAUGCGCUGGAACUCAGGAGACCCAAGUUCAAGUCCCAGCACUACCACUUACCAGGCGAGUGAUUCUGGGACAGUUACUGUGCAAUGAGAGCAAGCAACUUCAGAAUUUCUUUCG
This 565-nucleotide small RNA is filed under the name Pan troglodytes (chimpanzee). Its description in RNAcentral is "processed transcript". Lineage: Eukaryota; Metazoa; Chordata; Mammalia; Primates; Hominidae. The record is from RNAcentral.